RNAcentral lists this ribosomal RNA (404 nucleotides) under Fusobacteriota bacterium. RNAcentral's name for it is "Fusobacteria bacterium partial 16S ribosomal RNA". It matches the Rfam family "Bacterial small subunit ribosomal RNA", at positions 355 to 776 of the family's 1533-position model. The record is from RNAcentral. Lineage: Bacteria; Fusobacteriati; Fusobacteriota.
UGGGGAAUAUUGCACAAUGGAGGGAACUCUGAUGCAGCGACGCCGCGUGAGCGAUGAAGGACUUCGUUUCGUAAAACUCUGUUCUAUGGGAAGAAAAGGACUGUACCAUAGGAGAAAGCUCCGGCUAAAUACGUGCCAGCAGCCGCGGUAAUACGUAUGGAGCGAGCGUUGUCCGGAAUUAUUGGGCGUAAAGGGUGCGCAGGCGGCUUUACAAGUUGGAUGUGAAAUAUUGUGGCUCAACCACAAACGUGCAUCCAAAACUGCAAAGCUUGAGUUAAGGAGAGGUAAGUGGAAUUCCUGGUGUAGCGGUGGAAUGCGUAGAUAUCAGGAGGAAUACCGGUGGCGAAGGCGACUUACUGGACUUAAACUGACGCUCAGGCACGAAAGCGUGGGGAGCAAACAGG